MicroRNA precursor from Arabidopsis lyrata subsp. lyrata, 118 nucleotides. It matches the Rfam family "mir-399 microRNA precursor family". Rfam says of the family: mir-399 was identified in both Arabidopsis thaliana and Oryza sativa computationally and was later experimentally verified. mir-399 is thought to target mRNAs coding for a phosphatase transporter. The mature sequence is excised from the 3' arm of the hairpin. The record is from Rfam. NCBI's taxonomy places the organism in Eukaryota, Viridiplantae, Streptophyta, Magnoliopsida, Brassicales, Brassicaceae.
GGUUGGAUUACAGGGCAAAUACUCCAUUGGCAGAUAGUUUUCGUUGCAUCUAUAUUAUUGAUUAUCGAUGUAUGAAAAAUUCUUUACUGCCAAAGGAGAUUUGCCCCGCAAUUCAUCC